AGCGAACGCUGGCGGCAUGCCUAACACAUGCAAGUCGCACGGGGGGGCUUCGGCCUCCCAGUGGCGGACGGGGGAGGAACGCGUAGGGACCUGUCGAGGGGUGGGGGAUAACCGCGGGAAACUGCGGCUAAUACCGCAUGACGCCGCGGCGUGACAGCCGGGGCCAAAGGGGCAGGCGGCCCGCCGAGGGGGCUGCGUCCGAUUAGCCGGUUGGCGGGGUAGCGGCCCACCAAGGCGGCGACCGGUAGCUGGUCUGAGAGGGUGACCAGCCACACCGGGACUGAGGCACGGACCGGACUCGGACGGGAGGCAGCAGUGGGGAAUAUUGGACGAGGGGCGCAGGCCUGAUCCAGCAAUGCGGCGUGGGUGAGGAAGGUGUUCGGAUUGUAAAGCCGUUUCGGCGGGGACGAUGGUGACGGUACCCGCAGAAGAAGCCCCGGCUAACUUCGUG
This 451-nucleotide ribosomal RNA is filed under the name uncultured bacterium. RNAcentral describes it as "partial 16S ribosomal RNA". It matches the Rfam family "Bacterial small subunit ribosomal RNA", at positions 30 to 507 of the family's 1533-position model. The record is from RNAcentral.